AACCAAUGAAAAACAGCAGUCGGAUCUGUAUUACACCUGAAAAAUCCCAUCUCGACUGCGCUGGAAGGCUUUUCAGAUCAGCACACAAUGGACUCUGAGAUGCUGAGAUUCCACUUCCUCUCAGCGUUAGCGCCAGCACUGUGCUUGCUUGGAAAUGUUGAUUUUCUUGCAGAGAUCACUGCAUCUAUCUCAGGAUAAGCACUCACUUAUGAGACGUGUAUAGGAAAGCUGUCCCCAUAUCUCAGUCUUUCUGUAGAUUUCACAGGGUAUAAAAGCCUCUUAUUCCUUGUAUUCAUCACCAAGAACAGAAGCUUUGGAUUCUUUGAUUCCGGUAAACUACCAUUUAUUAGACGCAUUAAAUGAAAGACAGUCAAAAGGAGAAUGCAACAGAAAACUCCAGCACUGGAAAGCCUGCUUCUACCUUGCUUUUCUCAUCACUAGCACAAACAGCCUUUCAGAACAUCAAAGGAAGCACUGCUAUAUAAUAAGGCACAUUGCAGUCAGUGAGAUACGGGCGGAUGUAAACGCAGCUAAAUAGGAAGAUAUGUAUUUAGAGAUAAGUUACAUCUCGGAAUUCAAAUCCCCAUUUAUCACCUCUGAUAAGUUACUCAUGCAUUUAAAGUCAGGACAUGGUGUGUGUGUCUGCCUCUCUCCCCCAAGAGAUGCACACACUCCGUGGUACUGAAUCAACAUUUUCAGUCCCAGGGAAGGCUGCUACCGAGGCAGGGUAAGCUGGCCCUGUGGGGGCUGACGGGGGACCUCCAGAGCUACGACAUCCCAUGUGGACAGAGCACCAGACAAUCAGCGGUUGGCUUUGUUGGUCUGUGGAUGGAAACCAAGGCUACACGGUGCUCACACCUCUAAUUCUGGUUGGGGUUGCCAUGCCCCUACAGAGCUGGCAGGAUGCGAGGAAAAGAUUGAUGCAAUUUUUCACCGUGGGGUACCAUAGGAGAAAAAUGCCAGGACCUCAGCCGAGGGCUCCAAGACAUGCAAUCCCCUUGCAUGUCCCAGGAAUACAAGUCACCCCAGCUGCUGCUACCGUAGGCAAGAGGAACCUUUCUCCUUCACCUCCUGGCAAGGCACAGCAGGAAUCCACGCAGAGAUGACUACGGCCCCUGGAAAACCUCUCACCCGUGUGGGACUGGGUCCACACGCGGUAGGAACUACGCUGUGCCCUACUGCACGCACAGGCAUUUCGGCUGCAGUAAGGAGAAGGUGGGUGCCGGGAACGAGAGGGUGGAUGGACUGCUACCUAAAGCCUUUCUGUGAUCGGUGAAGGCAGAGCUGCCACUACCGAUGAGCUGCUGCAGGAGCUCUUCCACUUCCAGACGUCACCCUUGGCCAGCUGAGACCGGCUCCUCCGGGGACAUCAAGGGCCCCGUGGGCAUGUCCCUGAUGCACCACUUCUCCAGGAAUGUUCUGCUCCGGCAGAGCUUGCCCAAAGGGUUGUUCUCCCCUUCUGCACCUUUUCAGAUCAGCCCUCAGAACCGAAUGCGCCCAGCUCCGUAGCUUCUGCGAGCACACAAACACACGCAAGUUGGGCUCUGUAAUUUGCUGCGCACACAAGUCAGAAAGAUGGAUGGUUAGCUGCCUACAUGAUGGUUUCUAGAUAUCCCUGUCGUGUCCCUUAAUCAUACACUAUAUCAAACAAACAGUCCACAUUGUUGGUACGACCGUGGCAAUGUCUGACUGAUUCUCCCCCUUCAUAAACCAGAGCGUUAUCUCUUCCCAUCUGCAAACAUAAAAAUCCCACAGUGUUAUUACACAAGUGAUGCCAUCGUAAAAUUCUCCCCACGCCUUCCUCACCUCUCCCUUUCAUUUUUACGUUACCAUCAAUCGGGCUGAGACUUUCUACCUCUUCUGCAGCCUCUUGCCAUUCCCUCUGCCCCCUCUCCGGAGGGCUGACAGAGUAGGGGGGCACCUUGGGCUCUUCAUUUUUAAUUUCAACGCUGGGGGUUAUCCCCCUGGCAUGUUGGCUGGGGUAGGCACUGCCCCCCUCCCCAUCUUCGCAAUGUGUUUCCUCUUAGUCUCUCUGCACCCACUAUAAAUCAGGGAGCUACAACAUUUUUUAUUUGGAGCAUCUGCUGGAACAGCAAUUAAUCACUG
This is a long non-coding RNA of Anser cygnoides (Swan goose), 2106 nucleotides long. Lineage: Eukaryota; Metazoa; Chordata; Aves; Anseriformes; Anatidae. The record is from Ensembl.